Molecule: non-coding RNA, 170 nt
Filed under: Candidatus Tectimicrobiota
Lineage: Bacteria; Pseudomonadati
Source: RNAcentral
CUCGGUGCCGAUCCGGCAGGUGCCCGGGAACCCGGUGAAGGACCGGGGCUGCCCAGCAGCUGUGAGCGACGCGGCUCCCGCAGCACGCCCACUGGACCCCCGGGUCCGGGAAGGGGCGGGAGCCGGCCAUCGGCGCGAGCCAGAAGACCGGCCUGCCGGAUUCUCCCGAA